This 1538-nucleotide ribosomal RNA is filed under the name metagenome. RNAcentral's name for it is "bacterial LSU rRNA". It matches the Rfam family "Bacterial large subunit ribosomal RNA", at positions 1361 to 2925 of the family's 2925-position model. The record is from RNAcentral.
UAGGUUCAUCCGCCCAGGGUAAGUCGGGGCCUAAGCCGAGGACGGAAGUCGUAGGCGAUGGACAGCAGGUGUAGAUUCCUGCACUACCGAUGGAAUGAAGCAGUGACACAGAAGGAUAACUCGAGCAGGGUGAUGGUCAACCCUGUGCAAGCAUUGAGGUUGGGUUGUAGUGAAGUACGCAAUCCUAUAAGCUGAGAUGUGAUGCGGACCGAAAUUUCAGUAGGGAAGCGAGUGAGUUCACGCUGGCGAGAAAAGCUGCUAGUACAUCCAAAGGUACCCGUACCGGAAACCGACGCAGGUGGGCGAGGAGAGAAUCCUGAGACGAACGGGAGAACCCUUGUUAAGGAACUCGGCAAAAUGACCCCGUAACUUCGGGAUAAGGGGUGCCUGCGAGAGCAGGCCGCAGAGAAUAGUCACAAGCGACUGUUUAGCAAAAACACAGGUGUCUGCGAAAGCGAGAGCUGACGUAUAGGUGCUGACACCUGCCCGGUGCUGGAAGGUUAAGGGAACAUGUUAGAGCAAUCGAAGCAUCGAACCGAAGCCCCAGUAAACGGCGGCCGUAACAAUAACGGUCCUAAGGUAGCGAAAUUCCUUGUCGGGUAAGUUCCGACCCGCACGAAUGGUGUAACGACUUGUGAGCUGUCUCAACAGGGGGCCCGGUGAAAUUGAAGUAUGGGUGAAGAUGCCCAUUACCCGCGACUGGACGGAAAGACCCCGUAGAGCUUUACUGCAGCCUGAUAUUGAGUUUCGGUAACUGAUGCACAGGAUAGGUGGGAGUCUGAGAGACAUGGGUUUCGGCUCAUGUGGAGACGAUGUUGGGAUACCACUCUUCGGUUACUGAAAUUCUAACAUAGCUCUGUGAAACCAGAGGAUGGACAGUGUCAGGUGGACAGUUUGACUGGGGCGGUCGCCUCCGAAAGAGUAACGGAGGCGCCCAAAGGUACCCUCAGAAUGGAUGGAAACCAUUCGAAGAGCGCAAAGGCAGAAGGGUGCCUGACUGCGAGAUUGACAAAUCGAGCAGAGACGAAAGUCGGGCUUAGUGAUCCGGCGGUAUUGAGUGGAAAAGCCGUCGCUUAACGGAUAAAAGCUACCUCGGGGAUAACAGGCUGAUCUCCCCCAAGAGUCCACAUCGACGGGGAGGUUUGGCACCUCGAUGUCGGCUCGUCGCAUCCUGGGGCUGAAGCAGGUCCCAAGGGUUUGGCUGUUCGCCAAUUAAAGCGGCACGCGAGCUGGGUUCAGAACGUCGUGAGACAGUUCGGUCCCUAUCCAUCGUGGGCGUAGGAGUCAUGGGAGGAGCUGUUCCUAGUACGAGAGGACCGGAAUGGACGCACCACUGGUGCAACUGUUGUCGUGCCAACGGCAUAGCAGGGAAGCGAAGUGCGGAUGGGAUAAACGCUGAAGGCAUCUAAGCGUGAAGCCCACCUCAAGAAUAAGACUCCACAAUAGACCCCUGGAGGACUACCAGGUAGAUAGGUCAUCGGUGGAAGCGCUGUAAGGCGUGUAGCUUGAUGAUACUAAUCGGUCGAAAGCUUCAUGAA